Molecule: ribosomal RNA, 241 nt
Filed under: uncultured Staphylococcus sp.
Lineage: Bacteria; Bacillati; Bacillota; Bacilli; Caryophanales; Staphylococcaceae
Description: partial 16S ribosomal RNA
Rfam family: Bacterial small subunit ribosomal RNA
Source: RNAcentral
CGGACGGGUGAGUAACACGUGGAUAACCUACCUAUAAGACUGGGAUAACUUCGGGAAACCGGAGCUAAUACCGGAUAACAUGUUGAACCGCAUGGUUCAACAGUGAAAGACGGUCUUGCUGUCACUUAUAGAUGGAUCCGCGCCGCAUUAGCUAGUUGGUAAGGUAACGGCUUACCAAGGCAACGAUGCAUAGCCGACCUGAGAGGGUGAUCGGCCACACUGGAACUGAGACACGGUCCAG